Molecule: unclassified non-coding RNA, 550 nt
Filed under: Hevea brasiliensis (rubber tree)
Lineage: Eukaryota; Viridiplantae; Streptophyta; Magnoliopsida; Malpighiales; Euphorbiaceae
Source: RNAcentral
GCCUCGUUCAUGUAGAAAAAACAGCCUCAACAAUGACAUGCUUCUUCUUAGGAUAUCCCAUCCCAACCAUGUGGCUAAGAUAAGCUCUCCCAUCCUUCACAGUUGCUGCAGUGGCCAACCGAUGUGCUGGCCCUUUAAACUUGGCGACAACAGAAGCAGUCUCCCACCCAUCAGAGCUCUCCACUAAUCUCCCUGAAGGAUUUCCUGCAACCACGAGCUUAGUAGGCGACAAUAACUCCAGACCAUCUCCAAAUGACAGUGAUCCUUCAGUUACCUUAAUUAACUUCACAUCAUCAUCCUUGGCUAGAUCAAUCUUAUACAAAUUGCCAGUGAAAGUAUGAAUGACGAUCAAGAAACCAUCUGGGUGGUAAACAAUUCCAUUAAGCGCAACCAGGUUUUUGUACCACUGUUUUUGAAUGAAGAGUGGACUUCUGAUAAUAGAUAGGAAUUCGCCAUCCUUCCCAACCUUCCAAAUUUUACUGGUUUUUGCAUCAGUAAUAUAUGCAUUACCUUCUGCAUCAACUGCAACAUCAUCCGCAAAGGAUUUCUC